GAUGAACGCUAGCUACAGGCUUAACACAUGCAAGUCGAGGGGCAGCAUGGAGGAAGCUUGCUUUCUCCGAUGGCGACCGGCGCACGGGUGAGUAACGCGUAUCCAACCUUCCCCUUAGUAGGGCAUAGCCCGGCGAAAGUCGGAUUAAUACCCUAUGUUGUUCGAAGAGGACAUCUGAUUUGAACCAAAGACUUGUCGCUAAGGGAUGGGGAUGCGUCUGAUUAGGUUGUUGGCGGGGUAACGGCCCACCAAGCCAUCGAUCAGUAGGGGUUCUGAGAGGAAGGUCCCCCACAUUGGAACUGAGACACGGUCCAAACUCC
This 320-nucleotide ribosomal RNA is filed under the name uncultured Prevotella sp. Its description in RNAcentral is "bacterial SSU rRNA". It matches the Rfam family "Bacterial small subunit ribosomal RNA", at positions 28 to 339 of the family's 1533-position model. The record is from RNAcentral. Lineage: Bacteria; Pseudomonadati; Bacteroidota; Bacteroidia; Bacteroidales; Prevotellaceae.